UUGCCAGACUCCUACGGGAGGCAGCAGUGAGGAAUAUUGGUCAAUGGCCGGGAGGCUGAACCAGCCAAGUCGCGUGAGGGAAGACGGCCCUACGGGUUGUAAACCUCUUUUGUCAGGGAGCAAGGUGCAGGUCGGGACCUGCUGUGAGAGUACCUGAAGAAAAAGCAUCGGCUAACUCCGUGCCAGCAGCCGCGGUAAUACGGAGGAUGCGAGCGUUAUCCGGAUUUAUUGGGUUUAAAGGGUGCGUAGGCGGGCAUUUAAGCCGGCGGUCAAAUGUCGGGGCUCAACCCCGGCCUGCCGUCGGAACUGGGUGCCUUGAGUGGGCGAGAAGUAUGCGGAAUGCGUGGUGUAGCGGUGAAAUGCAUAGAUAUCACGCAGAACCCCGAUUGCGAAGGCAGCAUACCGGCGCCCUACUGACGCUGAGGCACGAAAGUGCGGGUAUCGAACAGGAUUAGAUACCCCGGUAG
RNAcentral lists this ribosomal RNA (467 nucleotides) under uncultured bacterium. RNAcentral's name for it is "bacterial SSU rRNA". It matches the Rfam family "Bacterial small subunit ribosomal RNA", at positions 328 to 793 of the family's 1533-position model. The record is from RNAcentral.